This 468-nucleotide ribosomal RNA is filed under the name uncultured bacterium. RNAcentral describes it as "partial 16S ribosomal RNA". It matches the Rfam family "Bacterial small subunit ribosomal RNA", at positions 28 to 507 of the family's 1533-position model. The record is from RNAcentral.
GACGAACGCUGGCGGCGUGCUUAACACAUGCAAGUCGAACGGAAGGGCCCUACUUUUGUGGGGUUCUCGAGUGGCGAACGGGUGAGUAACACGUGAGUAACCUGCCCUUGACUUUGGGAUAACUUCAGGAAAAUGGGGCUAAUACCGGAUAGGAGCUCCUGCUGCGUGGUGGGGGUUGGAAAGUUUCGGCGGUGGGGGAUGGACUCGCGGCUUAUCAGCUUGUUGGUGGGGUAGUGGCUUACCAGGGCUAUGACGGGUAGCCGGCCUGAGAGGGUGACCGGCCACAUUGGGACUGAGAUACGGACCAGACUGCUACGGGAGGCAGUAGGGGGGAAUAUGGCACAAUGGGCGGAAGCCUGAUGCAGCAACGCCGCGUGCGGGAUGACGGCUUUCGGGUUGUAAACAGCUGUCGCAGGUGACGAAGCGUGAGUGACGGUAAUGGGUAAAGAAGCACCGGCUAACUACGUG